Molecule: ribosomal RNA, 292 nt
Filed under: uncultured bacterium
Lineage: Bacteria
Description: partial 16S ribosomal RNA
Source: RNAcentral
GGACUACUGGGGUUUCUAAUCCCGUUCGCUCCCCUAGCUUUCGCACCUCAGCGUCAGAUACGAGCCAGGACCUUGCCUGCGCCAGUGGUGUUCCUCCGGAUCUCUACGCAUUUCACCGCUCCACCCGGAAUUCCAGGUCCCUCUCUCGCUCUCCAGUCGUGCCGUCUUUGCGAUGCUUGGGUGGUUAAGCCACCCACUGUCCCCGCAAACUGACACAACCGCCUGCGUGCCCUUUACGCCCAGUAACUCCGGACAACGCUUGCCCCCUACGUAUUACCGCGGCUGCUGGCAC